AGAGUCAAAUGCUUUUCACUUUAAGGACAAGCUGUGAUGGGGAGCGAAAUUUAGUAGCGAAGCGUCUGAUGUCACACUGCCGAGAAAAGCUUCUAGUGAGUACUUAACUACCCGUACCGCAAACCGACACAGGUAGUCGAGGAGAGAAUCCUAAGGUGAGCGAGUGAACUCUCGUUAAGGAACUCGGCAAAAUGACCCCGUAACUUCGGGAGAAGGGGUGCUGAUCGCAAGAUCAGCCGCAGUGAAUAGGCCCAGGCGACUGUUUAUCAAAAACACAGGUCUCUGCAAAAUCGUAAGAUGACGUAUAGGGGCUGACGCCUGCCCGGUGCUGGAAGGUUAAAAGGAUGGGUUAGCUUCGGCGAAGCUCAGAAUUGAAGCCCCAGUAAACGGCGGCCGUAACUAUAACGGUCCUAAGGUAGCGAAAUUCCUUGUCGGGUAAGUUCCGACCCGCACGAAAGGCGUAACGAUCUGGGCACUGUCUCAACGAGAGACUCGGUGAAAUUAUAUUGUCCGUGAAGAUGCGGACUACCCGCGACAGGACGGAAAGACCCCAUGGAGCUUUACUGUAGCUUGAUAUUGAGUGUUUGUACAGCUUGUACAGGAUAGGUAGGAGCCAUAGAAACCGGAACGCUAGUUUCGGUGGAGGCGUUGGUGGGAUACUACCCUCGCUGUAUGACCACUCUAACCCGCACCACUAAUCGUGGUGGGAGACAGUGUCAGGUGGGCAGUUUGACUGGGGCGGUCGCCUCCUAAAAAGUAACGGAGGCGCCCAAAGGUUCCCUCAGAAUGGUUGGAAAUCAUUCGCAGAGUGUAAAGGCACAAGGGAGCUUGACUGCGAGACAGACAGGUCGAGCAGGGACGAAAGUCGGGCUUAGUGAUCCGGUGGUACCGUAUGGAAGGGCCAUCGCUCAACGGAUAAAAGCUACCCUGGGGAUAACAGGCUUAUCUCCCCCAAGAGUCCACAUCGACGGGGAGGUUUGGCACCUCGAUGUCGGCUCAUCGCAUCCUGGGGCUGUAGUCGGUCCCAAGGGUUGGGCUGUUCGCCCAUUAAAGCGGUACGCGAGCUGGGUUCAGAACGUCGUGAGACAGUUCGGUCCCUAUCCGUCGCGGGCGUAGGAAAUUUGAGAGGACCUGUCCUUAGUACGAGAGGACCGGGAUGGACAUACCUCUGGUGUACCAGUUGUGCCGCCAGGCGCAUCGCUGGGUAGCUACGUAUGGAUGUGAUAAACGCUGAAAGCAUCUAAGUGUGAAACACACCUCGAGAUGAGAUUUCCCAUUCCUUUAUGGAAGUAAGACCCCUGAAAGAUGAUCAGGUAGAUAGGUUAGAAGUGGCAGUGCGGUGACGCAUGAAGCGGACUAAUACUAAUCGGUCGAGGACUUAACCAAG
This 1387-nucleotide ribosomal RNA is filed under the name Lactiplantibacillus plantarum. Its description in RNAcentral is "bacterial LSU rRNA". It matches the Rfam family "Bacterial large subunit ribosomal RNA", at positions 1532 to 2925 of the family's 2925-position model. The record is from RNAcentral. Lineage: Bacteria; Bacillati; Bacillota; Bacilli; Lactobacillales; Lactobacillaceae.